This 435-nucleotide ribosomal RNA is filed under the name uncultured bacterium. Its description in RNAcentral is "partial 16S ribosomal RNA". It matches the Rfam family "Bacterial small subunit ribosomal RNA", at positions 29 to 507 of the family's 1533-position model. The record is from RNAcentral.
AGCGAACGCUGGCGGCAGGCUUAACACAUGCAAGUCGAACGGGCAUCUUCGGAUGUCAGUGGCAGACGGGUGAGUAACACGUGGGAACGUACCCUUCGGUUCGGAAUAACUCAGGGAAACUUGAGCUAAUACCGGAUACGCCCUUUUGGGGAAAGGUUUACUGCCGAAGGAUCGGCCCGCGUCUGAUUAGCUUGUUGGUGGGGUAACGGCCUACCAAGGCGACGAUCAGUAGCUGGUCUGAGAGGAUGAUCAGCCACACUGGGACUGAGACACGGCCCAGACUCCUACGGGAGGCAGCAGUGGGGAAUAUUGGACAAUGGGCGCAAGCCUGAUCCAGCCAUGCCGCGUGAGUGAUGAGGGCCUUAGGGUUGUAAAGCUCUUUUGUCCGGGACGAUAAUGACGGUACCGGAAGAAUAAGCCCCGGCUAACUUCGUG